CUGGGUGUGCUUUACGGACAAGCGCACGACAAUGACGUAGAGAGCAUAGCAACCACCCUGGGAGGGCCUAUGAGCCAUAACAACCAGUUGACCAAUCAACACAGGGCAAGCCCUCCAAGCCUGGAGGCACACCAAUCCUGAGCCUGUGCGUACCCCUAGACACUCCCCUUACGCUGCCCUAUAAGAUCUUUUGGGAGCCCGUUGGAGCCGUCUUUUUCUAGCCGUCUGCCAUGGCGGGUGGGUGAAAGACCCGAGCUAACAUGGGGUUAGUUCGUUAAAUUACAAUAAAGCCUCGUGCAGUUUGCAGCAAGCUCUCGAAUCCGCCUGGUGAUUGGGGUGACCGCGAACCUGGCCUGAGACCCCGGAUACUUGAGUUUUCGGGGGUCUAACAUUUUGGGGGCUCGUCCGCGAUUUGCGACCACCCUUCACCUGAGUGGAUUCGAUCUUGGAGUUUAUAAUGUCAGACAGACUGCCAGAUCCGGACAGUGACCCAAAGUCUCCAAAGAAGAUUACGAGGCACCUCAGUUCCUGCACCUGGACCAGUGAGCGAGAUGCUCAGAUGUGAAACCUGCCGCCUGCCAGAACCUGGCCGAGAAUGUGGACAAAGCUGCUGGACACUGGAAAAUUGAUUGUACCCCUUUGCCUAGACAAAACAAGGUCAGUCUUUUCCAUGUCCCUCUUCCACAGAGAGAAAAAAAACUCUCACAGUAUAGGCCUGGCGAAGAUUGCUGGUCUUUGAGACACCUGCCUCCAGCGGUAAUGGAGAAACUUGGGUGUGGCUAACUGUAUAUAGACUGGCUUCUGUCACUUUUUAAUAGAUUCGGACAAAAUAUACCCUUCUCAGAUCUCUGAAAUAUUACUGGUUGUCAGCUUGACAGCAUCAGGCAGUCAGGUCCACUAUAGACUAGUCAGUAUGUUAGCUGAUAAAAUAGUAACUAUCUACUGUUCAGGCACAAGCUCAAGGUUUUUAAGUUUAUUUUGGUUGUCAUCUAAGUACAAACUUAAAGGGCUUUUCAUCAGGCCAAAGGCACCUCUGUCCAAUCCAUACCUGGCUCUCUGGACAGAAGAGAAAUGUACAUGCUUAUAGCCCAAAUCUGUAGAUUUUGCUAAAUAUGUUCCUGCUGUUUAAACAGAUAUCCAAAUAUCUGCUUUUUCUACACUGUGGGCUUCAGAAAAUAAGUUUUAACCUCUGUUCCUAGUUUAAACAUGUCUUAAACAGGUUUCUGCUUCUGGCUGACAUCUGAGUAUCAGUUGCUGACUACAGGCUGUUCUAAGUAGACUGCGAGCCCUAAACUUGCUGUGGAUGUGAACCAGUUCAGCUGAUAUGGACACCCCCUGUCUCUGCAACAGUGUCUGCUAACCAGAAGCCCCUGAUGAAUUCCCCAUUGCCUAAAUUCCUUUUUGCUUUUGACUAGCAUUUCAACCUUCUGGGGUCCCUAACUUCGUCCCAAAGUCAGCAGGAAGCAGUUUGGAAAAGAAUUUCGCCGUCCAUUUUCCCUGGUUAAAAUGCUAAGUCAAAAGGAACUCCCUUACAUGGGGAUGCCAAUAUCUAUCACUCCCUGAUGGGGAUGCUAGAGAGACAGCAAUUCCAUGAUUGGAAUUUCCAGAAAAGAAAAUGGGGGAAUGAAGGAACCGGCUUCCCUUUUGGCAGCCAUAAUGGUUAAACAUGUGCCUUUAUGACCUUGUCCUAGAAACCAGAAAGUCAGAUGCCUGUCUCGUGACAAGGAACCAAUCAGAAGUUAGCUGGUGGCGCUAUGCUUUACGACCCUGGGUGUGCUUUACGGACAAGCGCACGACAAUGACGUAGAGAGCAUAGCAACCACCCUGGGAGGGCCUAUGAGCCAUAACAACCAGUUGACCAAUCAACACAGGGCAAGCCCUCCAAGCCUGGAGGCACACC
Molecule: long non-coding RNA, 1900 nt
Filed under: Cricetulus griseus (Chinese hamster)
Lineage: Eukaryota; Metazoa; Chordata; Mammalia; Rodentia; Cricetidae
Description: lncRNA (ENSCGRG00015042368.1)
Source: RNAcentral